This 1171-nucleotide unclassified non-coding RNA is filed under the name Acromyrmex echinatior (Panamanian leafcutter ant). RNAcentral describes it as "alpha-tocopherol transfer protein-like, transcript variant X3". Lineage: Eukaryota; Metazoa; Arthropoda; Insecta; Hymenoptera; Formicidae. The record is from RNAcentral.
AUUUUUCAAGAUAUCAGAUUAAGUUACCAAGUGGAAUCUUUUCAUAUAGGUAGUCACAUUCAAGAAGUUUAAAUUCAAAGUAAACAAUGGUUUCAAUAAAGCUAGUAUCGUUUGAGGAAGAACUAAAGAAGAAUCCCGAAUUAAAAGAGUCAGAUAUACAAAUGUUAAGGGAAUGGUGCGAAAAGCAGUCUUAUCUGCCCAAAAUAUCAAAUAGUGAAUUAGCAUUGUUCUUGCAUAGUAAUUAUUAUCGACUUGAACCAACGAAAACUACUAUCGACACCUUUUUCACAGUUAGAACUCACGUACCUGAGUUUUUUUACAAUCGAGAUCCUAUUAACAACAAAGAACUCAAAAAAGCAACUGAAACGGUAACGAACAUAAUUUUGGAAGGAACUACUAAAGAAGGUUAUAAAAUUAUUUAUGGAAGACUCCUAGAUGACGAACCAUCGCAUUUCGUUUACAACGAUACUAUGAAAUUUCUGAAUAUGGUGAUUGAUUUAUGGCUCUAUAUGGAAGGCACUUGUGAUGGUCAUGUAUUGUUAAUCGACAUGAAAAACGUUUCUCUCGGCCACGUCGGUCGUUUGAGUCCCAUGGCCUUAAAGAAAUUCCUUUACUAUCUGCAAGACGGGUUACCUGUUAGAUUGAAGAGCUUUCACUUCAUGAAUGCUUCUCCGGUAAUAGAUCUCAUUUUGAAUAUGAUGAGACCUUUCAUGAAAAAGCAGCUGAUGGAUAUGUUUCAUAUGCAUACUAUGAAUGAUACUUUGGAGAAAUUUGUACCUCUCGAAGUUCUUCCAAACGAAGCAGGUGGUCAAGCUGGACCUGUAAGAGACUUACAUGAUAAACAAGUGAAAAAAUUGAUAGAUCAUGUUGUCUGGUUCCAAGAAGAUGAAGCUAAUCAUCGUGUUAAUGAAUCGCUACGACCGGGCAAGGCAAAGACAGCAACGGAUUUAUUUGGCGUUGAAGGAAGUUUUAAGAAGCUUGAAAUUGAUUGAUGGAAUCAUAUUUUGCAACACCAAUGAUAUCACUCACAGUUCCACUUAUGUGAUGAAAUGAAUCGGCAGUCAAUCAUACCAUUCAAUGAUCAAUGCAAAUAAAAAAAUGUGCAGAUUUUUAACAGUGUGAACCAAAUUUUAUAGGAGACCGGGGCUAAAAGUUUCGAUUUUGAGAAAAC